UACGUAGGUGACCAGCGUUGUCCGGAUUUACUGGGCGUAAAGAGCGCGCAGGCGGUCGUUCAAGUCGAGUGUGAAAGCCCCCGGCUCAACUGGGGAGGGUCAUUCGAUACUGAUCGACUGGAAGGCAGGAGAGGGAAGCGGAAUUCCCGGUGUAGUGGUGAAAUGCGUAGAUAUCGGGAGGAACACCAGUGGCGAAGGCGGCUUCCUGGCCUGUUCUUGACGCUGAGGAGCGAAAGCGUGGGGAGCGAACAGG
This 253-nucleotide ribosomal RNA is filed under the name uncultured bacterium. RNAcentral's name for it is "partial 16S ribosomal RNA". It matches the Rfam family "Bacterial small subunit ribosomal RNA", at positions 524 to 776 of the family's 1533-position model. The record is from RNAcentral.